AGUUGACUGUUGCCAAAGCUGAUCCUGUUUCCGCAUCCGGCAACCAGAGGGCAGCUGACUUCCAGCAACUCUGAGCUGACUUGGAUCUAAUUCUUCCCAAUUCACGCCACAAGCCCAACUCAUCGGCUGAUACCUGAGGAUGAUCCACUGCUCACUGAGCGUGGUCAGGGAGCGCCGCUGUCGGACGAGCAUCUUCAUCAAAUGUGCUGAGAACCCUCUGCACCGCUCCACGUUGCCCAUGCCCAUUUCCUGGCAGAAGGAGAAGGAAAAACAUGCUGAAGGGGCUGCUGACAAACACCACCCACAGAUGUGCCUCUAGAAAGUUGUUUCUACUAUAAGCGUCAGACAUGCCGCACUCUAGAGGUGACACAUUCAUUUUUUUGAGCAGUGUUUCUCCAAUUAUGCUUGCACAGAUCAUUGAUAUUCCACAGACAGGAACUGGAUUUAACUCCAAAAUGCAUUUAUUAGUGCUCUUUUCUCAAUUCACAAAGGGAAGAAAGAUCUAAAGAUGGCAUUCUCAAUUUGAAGUUUUUAAUUUUUCUUAAACAUUAAGAAAAUUUGUCCUGCUGGCAAGUGUAACUGAAUUUAUUUAAGGUGUUCUGAUUUUGCACAAAAUUACAUUGAUUUAUAUUUUAAGUUUAAGGAUGUACUGCAAAAAGCUCAGUUCCACUAACAGGCUGUUAUCACUUAACAAGGUCUGAGAAUGCGGCCCUGGGAUGAACAGAACAAGGGCUUUCCCUGAGCCCCUUCAAGACUCAUGUUCUAUCAUUCUACCUUGGCAGGAGUUGCUAGUGCUGCGUUAAGCCUGGCAUGCCGUGCAAGAGAGCGAUAAAAAUACUUCUGGCAUCCAUCCCAUGAAGACGAGAUUUCUGUAAGCAGCCUGGAAAAGAUAUCAACAUCGUUUACUUAAUCAAAACCAUGCUCUCCCACCCCAGAUCCUGAAAACUCAGAUAUUGGUAUAUUUGGCCAUAACCAAGAGUCAGCUGUCUGAAUAGGUUUAUUUCUAUGAGGAAUCAUUCAGUGAGGCACUCAUUAGUCCUUUACUUAACUCAGCACUGGAAGUAUCAGGGGAAAUAAAUUAUGCUGACAAUAUGGUUUCUUCAAUGAAAUCUUCCUAUCUUGGCAGUGGAGGCUAGGGGGUCAUAAACUCUGAUGCCUACAGGGGCCAGGCAAAUAACAUAAGAGGACUAAGGACAGCCAAGCAUAAAAUGAUGCAUGGCAGUGACAGCUGACCUCAAUGUGGGGAAGACACAGGGGUUGUUGAGGGCUCAAGUAAGCUGGAGAGCAUGUGUCCUAUCAAAAGGAGGAAACUACUAUUCAGCUAUAGCAAUGCUGACUGAAUGGGAAUGCAAGCCCACUUGGCAAAUUUUCCUGAAAAAGAAUGCUUAUGUAAAAUUUCCCCUUUCUACAAUGUUCUGUUGAAUUCAAAUUUAAAGCCCUGGGAGCAAAUAAAACACACACGUGUAC
Long non-coding RNA from Pongo pygmaeus (Bornean orangutan), 1467 nucleotides. RefSeq lists it as uncharacterized. The transcript is spliced from 2 exons. NCBI's taxonomy places the organism in Eukaryota, Metazoa, Chordata, Mammalia, Primates, Hominidae. The record is from RefSeq and is a predicted model, not a curated record.